GAAAAAUAGGUGCAAAGAUCAUUUGGAGAAUGACUGAAGAGGUUGUGGCAUUUGAUUGUGAUGAAAUAUCAUUGUGCUAUAAGAAUUAAAAAAGGGAAUGGUUUCAGAAAAACAGCAAGCCCUAUAUGAACUUAUGCAAAAAUAAAGGGAAAAAACUGGAGCAUUUGUAUACAGUAAUAGCAAUCUUGUAAUAGUGACCUUUUGAAUCUGUGAAAGAUUUGGCUACUCUGAUUAAUUCAAUGAUCCAAGACAAUUUCAAAGGACUCAUGAUGAAAAAAUGCUAUCUAUCUUGAGAGAGAAUUGAUGAACUCAAUGCAAAUUGAAUAAUUUUUUCUUUAUUUUUCUUUCUUUUUUUGAAAAUAUGGCUAAUAUGGAAAUAUUGUUAUGCAUGAUUUCAUUUGUAUGAAUGAUAUAUUGCUUGCCUUUUCUGUGGGUAGGGGAGAGAGUGAGAGUGAGGGAAAAAAUUUGGAACUUAAAAUUUAAAAAAGAAAAGGUUAUUAAAAAUAAUAUAUUAAAAUAUUAAAAAUAGAGUAAGAAAUGUACCACUUAAAAAAGGGCACUGUAGUUUUAUCUUACAUUAUGGAAACUGGCAAGCAUGACAAAAAACAGCCAGUGUUGAAGGGAUCGCUAAUGCAUUGUUGAUGGAGUUGUCGAGUUCAGUCCUCACUUGAAAAGUGUUUUGUAGUUAUACAAGAAAAAUAAUUGUAUUAUACAUGCUUUGAUCCAGAAAUUUCACUACUGGGCAUAUUACCUAUAUAAUCAAAAUAAUCAUAGCAGCAGCCUUUGUGAUAGCAAAGUGGUCCCUUCAGUUGGAAAAUGAUUGAAAAAAUGAUGGCGUAAGGAUGUUAAGGGCAGGAUGUAUUUGACAGUAAGAAGUUACACAUAGGAAGAAUUCAGGGAAGUAUAGGAAGAUUUCUAUGAAGUGCUACAGAGCAAGUUAAGCAGAACCAAGACAACACCAUACACAACCACAACUAUGUAAAUGGUCACUAAAAGCAAGUUGAACUCUGAGUAAAGAGGUAAUGAAACUUCCCUCCCUGUCAAAGAUCCAACUAGAAUCUUGUUGAAAAGACCUAUAUAAAAAUAAAAGGCAUAUAAGUUGAUAUACAUUUUUUUUUAAGGUAAAUGCCUAUUGAUGGAGUUGUGAAUUGAGAGCAAUUGUUGGGGAGCUGGAGAGCAAUUUGGAAUUAUGCCCCAAAGGACUAGAAAACUAGAAUCCAGCAGUGUCACUAUUGAGCCUGUAUCCCUAAGAGAUCAUAAAAAAAAGGAAAGGACCAACAUGUAAAAGAUGUUUGUAGUAGCCCUUUUUGUGGUGGCAAGGAAUUGAAAACUGAAUGGAUGGCCAUCAAUUGGGGAAUGGCUGAAUAAAUUAUGGUAUAUGAAUGUUAUAGAAUAUUAUUGUUCUGUAAGAUAUAAUGAGCAGGAUGAUUUCAGAAAAGCCUGGAGAGACUUAUAUGAACUGAUGCUGAGUGAAGUGAGCAGAACUAAGAGAAC
This 1494-nucleotide long non-coding RNA is filed under the name Sarcophilus harrisii (Tasmanian devil). RNAcentral describes it as "lncRNA (ENSSHAG00000027695.1)". Lineage: Eukaryota; Metazoa; Chordata; Mammalia; Dasyuromorphia; Dasyuridae. The record is from RNAcentral.